CAGGUUGCAUCUCGCUUUUGAAAUCUGGCGGAUUAGAAUCAUUUCCGUAACAUGGGCAGGUUGACCUCCCUGUAACUAGGGUUUGGUCUCCGAGGCCCUUUGGGUCUCUUGGCCUCGUGCUGUCUUCACAGCGUGCUGCGAAGGACCGCCCUGUCAUCAGGGAUCGGGUCUUUGCCCUCUAGUCUCUUGGCACUAGGCCAAAUGCAGCCACUGCCCCGAAUGAGCACCCUGUAAACAGGGUACAGGUCUCAUCAGCUACUAUUUAUGGUGCCCCCAUGAGACUGUGUCCAGAGUUCCGGCCCUUUAAGCAGCGCUUGCAACGUGCCUGGAAUUCUGCAGCCAAGUCUCCUGCUUUCUACUCCCUUCUUGGACUCUUGGAGACCUGACAUGCUAUUGGUGGCAUCAUGAAGCACAAGUGCAGAAGAAGGAAGUGUCAGGAAUGCCACAGACAGAGGAGAAAAGAAGAUGGAGGAAAAGGAAAGGAACUCUGGGCACAGUACCCUCCCUCAAAUCAGCCUCAGGUCAUGUAAUUAGACUGUAUGGGAAUCUCGAGCCUUUUAAUAACUUGAGCAGCGUGACCGCCCUGUAAGCUAGGUCCGGGUCUGUCCCCUUUGGACAUUCUGCUCCGUCAUCUGGCUAGUGUGAGUGACUGCCCUGUAAUCAGGGUGCCAGUCACCUCCCCCUAAAUGUGGAGGGGCAUUGAGCUCUUUCUCUAAUUGAGCAUUGUGACCGGCCUGUAACUAGGGCCCGGGUCUCUGCCCACUUGCUCAUUUGGCUUUACGCCGUGCUCUGCCCCACUAGUCAGCGUGACAACCCUGUAAUUAGGGUCCAUGUCACAAGGCUCUCCUGAAUGGGACAUAUCGAGCUCUUUGGUACUUUCACAGCUGGACCGUCCUGUAAUUCAGGUUAUGGUCUCUCCUCUUUGGCUAAUGCCAGUGACCACCCUGUAAUGAGGGGACAGGUUGCAUCUUGCUUUUGAAAACUGGGGGAUUAGAAUCAUUUCCGUAACAUGGGCAGCUUGACCUCCCUGUAACUAGGGUUUGAGUCUCCGAGGCCCUUUGGGUCUCCAUUAGCUGGUUAGUGAGUGUGACUGCCCUGCAAUCAGGGUGCAAGUCACCUCCCCCUAAAUGUGGGGGGGGCAUUGAGCUCUUUGUUAAACUGAGCAAUAUGACCGCCCUGUAACUAGGGCCCGGGUCUCUGCCCACUUGCUCAUUUGGCAUUACGCCGUGCUCUGCCCCACUAGUCAGCGUGACAACCCUGUAAUUAGGGUCUAUGUCACAAGUUACUUUUAAAUGGGACAUAUCGAGCUCUUUGGUACUUUGACAGCUGGACCUUCCUGUAAUUCAGGUUAUGGUCUCUCCUAUUUGGCUAAUGCCAGUGACCACCCUGUAAUGAGGGGACAGGUUGCAUCUCGCUUUUGAAAUCUGGGGGAUUAGAAUCAUUUCCGUAACAUGGGCAGCUUGACCUCCCUGUAACUAGGGUUUGAGUCUCCGAGGCCCUUUGGGUCUCCAUUAGCUGCUUAGUGAGUGUGACUGCCCUGCAAUCAGGGUGCAAGUCACCUCCCCCUAAAUGUGGGGGGGCAUUGAGCUCUUUCUUAAACUGAGCAAUAUGACCGCCCUGUAACUAGGGCCCGGGUCUCUGCCCACUUGCUCAUUUGGCUUUACGCCGUGCUCUGCCCCAUUAGUCAGCAUGACCGCUCUGUAAUUAGGGUCUAUGUCACAAGUUACUCUUAAAUGGGACAUAUCGAGCUCUUUGGUACUUUGACAGCUGGACCUUCCUGUAAUUCAGGUUAUGGUCUCUCCUCUUUGGCUAAUGCCAGUGACCACCCUGUAAUGAGGGUACAGGUUGCAUCUUGCUUUUGAAAUCUGGGGGAUUAGAAUCAUUUCCGUAAUAUGGGCAGCUUGACCUCCCUGUAACUAGGGUUUGGUCUCCGAGGCCCUUUGGGUCUCUUGGCCUCGUGCUGUCUUCACAGCGUGCUGCGAAGGACCGCCCUGUCAUCAGGGAUCGGGUCUUUGCCCUCUAGUCUCUUGGCACUAGGCCAAAUGCAGCCACUGCCCCGAAUGAGCACCCUGUAAACAGGGUACAGGUCUCAUCAGCUACUAUUUAUGGUGCCCCCAUGAGACUGUGUCCAGAGUUCCGGCCCUUUAAGCAGCGCUUGCAACGUGCCUGGAAUUCUGCAGCCAAGUCUUCUGCUUUCUACUCCCUUCUUGGACUCUUGGAGACCUGACAUGCUAUUGGUGGCAUUUUGAAGCACAAGUGGAGAAGAAGGAAGUAUCUAACCAAGGCAUAACUGUGAAUCUGAAAUGCAGAGACCUUAAACACACAAGUUCUAUAGAAUGAUCACUUCCUUUUAUUAAUAAGUCAUCAUUUCCUAUUGGAAGUUCAAGGAUGUGACUGAAGGGAAGGCAUAGAUUUUUAUUCUCCACUCACCCCCAAUACGCCUAACUUGUGUAUUUCUCACACAUUUCUAAAAGGGAGCAAACAAAACUAAAUGUUCUGGCAUCUGGCAGUUACUUCCUGCACUUCACAACUUUCAAACACCUACUCUACUUAAACGGUCUCACCAACCAAAGUGUACCACACAAUCAAUAUUAACUUUGCACCUAUUUUGUCAGAAGUUAUAGUGUUUUUAGUAGUUGUGUCCAUUGGUGGACGUGGCAAUAGUGGUGUUUUAAUAGUCUUUUAUGCUGAUUGAAUUCAGAGGAUCAUGAUGUGGAUGUUUAGGUAGGUAUUUUUCUGUUAAGUUUUGGUAUUUGGGCAGGGGUGCAGUAUUUUGUGAUUAUGAUUGUUUUUCUGGUAUUGGUUUAGUGUUAAUUGUUGGCAAUUUUAGAUGUUUUUGUAUACUUACAUUAGUAGAUGUAUUUAGAGGGCAAAGCUGAGGUUGUCUGUUUGGUGCAAUUUGAUUGGUGUAAAAGUUAAUUUCGGGUAAGUGUUUGAAAGCCCUGAGCUUUGAAUUUGUAGCUCAACAGGGAUGCAGGACCCACCUGGCUACCUCAGUUCUAACUUUCAUUCCUAAUUCCAAAAUCUUGGAUGAAGAUGACCAUAUAAAGAAGAAUAAAGAUAUCUCCAGAGACUUUCAAGAGGGUAGCAUGUAUGCAGCUUAGGGGAUCCCUUAAACCUUAUUGAGCUUUUCAAAGUGCAGUAAUUGUGGAAAACUUCUACUUCUGCCACUUAAGUGUUGAACAAUAAUCUGUAUUAAAGGAUUUACACUGGUAGUUAAUUCUGUUCUGUAUUAAGAUGAUUUUGCUAAAAUCACCACUUCAUGAUGUGUGAAAUGAAUUAACUAGGUCUGAUUAUACCUAUUUUAUAAAAGUUGGACUACUCCAUAUUAAAUGCAUGUAUCGAACUUUGAUUGUCAUAUCACAUUGCUUUGCUUUCUGUAACUCCUUAUUUAUGAAUGUAUUUAUUACUCUUUAUGUCAUUCAAUUAAUAAAAUGUAUGCAUUCCGGUAA
This is a long non-coding RNA of Mauremys reevesii (Reeves's turtle), 3452 nucleotides long. RefSeq lists it as uncharacterized. The transcript is spliced from 3 exons. The record is from RefSeq and is a predicted model, not a curated record. Lineage: Eukaryota; Metazoa; Chordata; Testudines; Geoemydidae.